UACGUAGGGGGCUAGCGUUGUCCGGAUUUACUGGGCGUAAAGGGCGCGUAGGCGGCCAACUAAGUCAUACGUGAAAUCCCUCAGCUUAACUGGGGAACUGCGUGUGAUACUGGAUGGCUUGGAUUUGGGAGAGGGAUGCGGAAUUCCAGGUGUAGCGGUGAAAUGCGUAGAUAUCUGGAGGAACACCGGUGGCGAAGGCGGCAUCCUGGACCAAUAUUGACGCUGAGGAGCGAAAGCCAGGGGAGCAAACGGG
This 253-nucleotide ribosomal RNA is filed under the name uncultured bacterium. Its description in RNAcentral is "partial 16S ribosomal RNA". It matches the Rfam family "Bacterial small subunit ribosomal RNA", at positions 524 to 776 of the family's 1533-position model. The record is from RNAcentral.